Molecule: non-coding RNA, 148 nt
Filed under: Gorilla gorilla gorilla (western lowland gorilla)
Lineage: Eukaryota; Metazoa; Chordata; Mammalia; Primates; Hominidae
Source: Rfam by way of RNAcentral
GCCAGGCAUAGUGGCAUGUGCCUGUGGUCCCAGCUACUCUGGAGGCUGAGGUAGGAGAAUUGCUUGAGCCCAGGAGUUCCGGGCUGCAGUGAGCCAUGAUCACACCACUGCACUCCAGCCUAGGCAACAAAGUGAGCCCUCAUCUCAA